This 548-nucleotide ribosomal RNA is filed under the name uncultured Glomeromycotina. RNAcentral's name for it is "SSU rRNA". It matches the Rfam family "Eukaryotic small subunit ribosomal RNA", at positions 548 to 1098 of the family's 1831-position model. Lineage: Eukaryota; Fungi; Glomeromycota. The record is from RNAcentral.
UUGGAGGGCAAGUCUGGUGCCAGCAGCCGCGGUAAUUCCAGCUCCAAUAGCGUAUAUUAAAGUUGUUGCAGUUAAAAAGCUCGUAGUUGAAUUUCGGGAUCAGAGUGUCGGUCGUGCCUCGGUACGUACUGGUAUUAUUGGUUCCUACCUUCUGAAGAACCGCGAUGUCAUUAAUUUGGUGUCGUGGGGAAUCAGGACUGUUACUUUGAAAAAAUUAGAGUGUUUAAAGCAGGCUUACGCUUGAAUACAUUAGCAUGGAAUAAUGAAAUAGGACGUUUGAUUCUAUUUUGUUGGUUUCUAGGAUUGACGUAAUGAUUAAUAGGGAUAGUUGGGGGCAUUAGUAUUCAAUUGUCAGAGGUGAAAUUCUUGGAUUUAUUGAAGACUAACUACUGCGAAAGCAUUUGCCAAGGAUGUUUUCAUUAAUCAAGAACGAAAGUUAGGGGAUCGAAGACGAUCAGAUACCGUCGUAGUCUUAACCAUAAACUAUGCCGACUAGGGAUCGGAUGAUGUUAAUUUUUUAAUGACUCAUUCGGCGCCUUACGGGAAAC